Molecule: ribosomal RNA, 320 nt
Filed under: Bacillus cereus
Lineage: Bacteria; Bacillati; Bacillota; Bacilli; Caryophanales; Bacillaceae
Description: bacterial SSU rRNA
Rfam family: Bacterial small subunit ribosomal RNA
Source: RNAcentral
CAAACCGGAGGAAGGUGGGGAUGAUGUCAAAUCAUCAUGCCCCUUAUGACCUGGGCUACACACGUGCUACAAUGGACGGUACAAAGAGCUGCAAGACCGCGAGGUGGAGCUAAUCUCAUAAAACCGUUCUCAGUUCGGAUUGUAGGCUGCAACUUGCCUACAUGAAGCUGGAAUCGCUAGUAAUCGCGGAUCAGCAUGCCGCGGUGAAUACGUUCCCGGGCCUUGUACACACCGCCCGUCACACCACGAGAGUUUGUAACACCCGAAGUCGGUGGGGUAACCUUUUUGGAGCCAGCCGCCUAAGGUGGGACAGAUGAUUG